This 73-nucleotide transfer RNA is filed under the name Anguilla anguilla (European eel). RNAcentral's name for it is "tRNA-OTHER". The record is from RNAcentral. Lineage: Eukaryota; Metazoa; Chordata; Actinopteri; Anguilliformes; Anguillidae.
AGCACGGUGGCGUAGUGGUUGGCACUGUUGCCUCGCAAGAAGGAGGUUACGGGUUUGAGUCCUGUUUGUGUGG